CUACGGGAGGCUGCAGGCGCAAAACCUUUACAAUGCACGCAAGUGUGAUAAGGGGAUCCUCCGUGCUCAUGCAUAGCAUGGGCUUUUGCCAAGUGUAAAUAGCUUGGCGAAUAAGUGGUGGGUAAGACUGGUGCCAGCCGCCGCGGUAACACCAGCGCCACGAGUGGUGACCACGUUUAUUGGGCCUAAAGCGUCCGUAGCCGGCUUAGUAAGUCUUUUGUGAAAUUGUUGGGCUUAACCCAACAGCGUGCAAGAGAUACUGCUAGGCUUGAGACCGGGAGGAGUCAGAAGUAUUCCAGGGGGAGCGGUAAAAUGUUAUAAUCCCUGGAGGACUACCUGUGGCGAAGGCGUCUGACCAGAACGGAUCUGACGGUGAGGGACGAAAGCCAGGGGAGCGAACCGGAUUAGAUACCCCGGUAGUC
This 422-nucleotide ribosomal RNA is filed under the name uncultured archaeon. RNAcentral describes it as "partial 16S ribosomal RNA". It matches the Rfam family "Archaeal small subunit ribosomal RNA", at positions 323 to 746 of the family's 1478-position model. The record is from RNAcentral.